GCUCAACCGGGGAGGGUCAUUGGAAACUGGGGAACUUGAGUGCAGAAGAGGAGAGUGGAAUUCCACGUGUAGCGGUGAAAUGCGUAGAGAUGUGGAGGAACACCAGUGGCGAAGGCGACUCUCUGGUCUGUAACUGACGCUGAGGCGCGAAAGCGUGGGGAGCGAACAGGAUUAGAUACCCUGGUAGUCCACGCCGUAAACGAUGAGUGCUAAGUGUUAGAGGGUUUCCGCCCUUUAGUGCUGCAGCAAACGCAUUAAGCACUCCGCCUGGGGAGUACGGUCGCAAGACUGAAACUCAAAGGAAUUGACGGGGGCCCGCACAAGCGGUGGAGCAUGUGGUUUAAUUCGAAGCAACGAGAAGAACCUUACCAGGUCUUGACAUCCUCUGACAACCCUAGAGAUAGGGCUUCCCCUUCGGGGGCAGAGUGACAGGUGGUGCAUGGUUGUCGUCAGCUCGUGUCGUGAGAUGUUGGGUUAAGUCCCGCAACGAGCGCAACCCUUGAUCUUAGUUGCCAGCAUUCAGUUGGGCACUCUAAGGUGACUGCCGGUGACAAACCGGAGGAAGGUGGGGAUGACGUCAAAUCAUCAUGCCCCUUAUGACCUGGGCUACACACGUGCUACAAUGGGCAGAACAAAG
RNAcentral lists this ribosomal RNA (637 nucleotides) under uncultured bacterium. RNAcentral describes it as "bacterial SSU rRNA". It matches the Rfam family "Bacterial small subunit ribosomal RNA", at positions 607 to 1244 of the family's 1533-position model. The record is from RNAcentral.